AUACGUAGGGGGCGAGCGUUGUCCGGAAUGACUGGGCGUAAAGGGCGUGUAGGCGGCCGAUUAAGUCUGGAGUGAAAGUCCUGCUUUCAAGGUGGGAAUUGCUUUGGAGACUGGUUGGCUUGAGUGCGGAAGAGGUAAGUGGAAUUCCCAGUGUAGCGGUGAAAUGCGUAGAUAUUAGGAGGAACACCAGUGGCGAAGGCGGCUUGCUGGACGACAACUGACGCUGAGGCGCGAAAGCGUGGGGAGCAAACAGGAUUAGAUACCCUGGUAGUCCACGCAGUAAACGAUGAUGGCUAACCGCUGGGCUUAUCAGUUCAGUGGCCAAGCGAAAGCGAUAAGCCAUCCACCUGGGGAGUACGACCGCAAGGUUGAAACUCAAAGGAAUUGACGGGG
RNAcentral lists this ribosomal RNA (393 nucleotides) under uncultured bacterium. Its description in RNAcentral is "partial 16S ribosomal RNA". It matches the Rfam family "Bacterial small subunit ribosomal RNA", at positions 523 to 918 of the family's 1533-position model. The record is from RNAcentral.